RNAcentral lists this microRNA precursor (88 nucleotides) under Oryza longistaminata (longstamen rice). Its description in RNAcentral is "pre miRNA mir-395". It matches the Rfam family "mir-395 microRNA precursor family". From Rfam's summary of the family: mir-395 was identified in both Arabidopsis thaliana and Oryza sativa computationally and was later experimentally verified. mir-395 is thought to target mRNAs coding for ATP sulphurylases. The mature sequence is excised from the 3' arm of the hairpin. Lineage: Eukaryota; Viridiplantae; Streptophyta; Magnoliopsida; Poales; Poaceae. The record is from RNAcentral.
GUAUUAUCGAGAGUUCCCUUCAACCACUUCACGUGGCACUGUCUCAAGGCCUAUUGUGUGAAGUGUUUGGGGGAACUCUCGGUAUCAC